UGUAAAUUCUUUGACAUGGUAGUGUAAGUAGAGUUUAACCUAGGAUUUUGUGAUGAAUUUUGUUCUAGAGUUUUGCUAAGCCUUGAUUGUUUUUGCAGCUCUUCGGAUUGGGCAUUGCUUACUUCAGUUCAUUCUAGUAGUGGACAGUGCAGGUUGACUACUACAAGGUUAGAAGUGGUUUAUUUUCUAGGGAUGAUGGAAAGGAAGGACCUGGUAUUGCUACUUUGGUUUAUGCAUAGUUGAAUAAUGAUUUCUCUGUAACCAUUAAUAACAUUCAUAGUACGUGUUGUCAUUGCAAGCUGUAUAAAUUGCUUCAUUUUGUCAAAUGUUAUUCAUAAUAUUUUAAUCA
Molecule: long non-coding RNA, 349 nt
Organism: Sorghum bicolor (sorghum)
Lineage: Eukaryota; Viridiplantae; Streptophyta; Magnoliopsida; Poales; Poaceae
Exons: 2
Source: RefSeq, a predicted model, not a curated record